Molecule: long non-coding RNA, 297 nt
Organism: Alosa sapidissima (American shad)
Lineage: Eukaryota; Metazoa; Chordata; Actinopteri; Clupeiformes; Clupeidae
Exons: 3
Source: RefSeq, a predicted model, not a curated record
GUGUACAUUUAUUUACAGAAAAGGUAGGCUCACAUAGAUUGUUUCCUGGCUACCAAUGCUGUUUUUUGUCAGUUUGUGAAGUUUAGGCGAAGUAGGAAGUAAUGUCAGGAAUCUGAUCAAUGUUGGAAUUGGUUAGGUUGGACCAAUAGACCUCUGAAGGUCGCCUACAAAAAAGCUACCAUCUUUGCCCAUAUAAGGAGAUCCAGUAUCUUGAGAUUUUUCCUGUGGGACAAUAACAUGGGGAUUUGGAAUUAUCACACCUGUUAAACUCUCGCGGGCAAUUUAAUUGUUCUGCUC